Molecule: long non-coding RNA, 458 nt
Organism: Globicephala melas (long-finned pilot whale)
Lineage: Eukaryota; Metazoa; Chordata; Mammalia; Artiodactyla; Delphinidae
Source: RefSeq, a predicted model, not a curated record
GAAAAGAGUGAGCAGCCUGAAGGUCACACACAACUAAACUCGGUAACACUGAAAGCUAUGAAGAGACUGGGUGAAAGAGGGAAGACCCUCCAUCAUUUUGUUAGCACCAUCAAGCCCACCACAGUGAGAAACAAGAAGGGUUUAUCCUAUAUGGGACUCUCUGCACUUCCUGGACUUGGGUGGCUAUUUCCUUUCCCACGUUUGGAGUCUUGGAUCUUCUGCCAGCAUCCAUGAAACUGUUAAGAUCAGCUAUCAAUAGAAAUCGUAAUAUUUUCUUGCAACCCCAGUGAAUCAUGUUUCUUACAUUUGUGCUUGCUCUGGAGAUCUUGUACUGCAUUACACAGGGAUCUCUGCCUUACUGAGUGUUGACCGACCAACAAGCCUCACUGGCUGUACCUCAUCAAAGCUAGAGUAAACGUCUCACCAUGGGCUGGAAAGAAACACCGAAGAUGGCAGAC